UGUUCAUUACCUGCGCUUGUGAAUAGGCAGAAAAACCCGCCAUUUUAAACCAGAUUUUCAAGUAGGUCUUGGCCACCCAAAUAUCAUUUUUUGUAACUUGACCUCCUAAUGUCUUAGGAUCUUAAAAUAUUUUUGGCCUCAUUUAUUUAAAAGAAAGUCAUGCGAGAGAAAUACCUGUUUGUGUGUUUCCUGGUAUUUGUGGACGCUACCCCCAGAAACGCAAGUUUCAGACCAUGCGAAGAACGGGUUGGAGAGUGCCCUCCAGGCCAAAUACCAAACUGCCUGCGAAAAAACAGGAGGGAGCACCAUUUUGCGUGUUCCCCGGCGAAACAAGCUUGUUUCCUCCAGUGGUCAAGACAAUGCGAAGACGCCACUAACUUCUGUUGUAGUCAUUAUCCGACCUACUGUGAUUGUCAUUGUGAGGUCCCGCUCAGAUUGCCGCCGCUUCCAAUACCACUACAACAACAUCCGCGCAAAAAGCGCGGGCCAGGAAGAAUCUAAUUGUCUAAACAACUUUCAACAGCGGAGAAGCUUGGCAAAAUUCCGGUGUGCAACGCUACAUCUGGUUGGGUGAGGAGGAGCUACGUCUCUCGCGAGCAUAGCGUGCGCCGCGCGCUAUGCUGCACCGCUAUGCUCGCGAGAGAGGAGUCUGGACACUGACGUCAUAGCUGCGCCGAGCACGUGUCAGCAGAGUCAUUUGACCGCGCUAAUGAAAGCGGGCGCGCGGCGGCGCCCGGGCAUUUCUCCGCCCUACCGAGAUAUGGCUCGACAUGAGCGCACCUUGACGCCGGAAGAAGAGGCUGCCAGACGAGAGAAGUGCCUUCAAGCCACGCGGGAAAGGAGUCGCCGUCUUCGUGCCGAUCCAGCCUACCUCGCCAACAAAGCCGCCGAUAUGCGACGUUGUCAAGCCGAUCCGGAAUACCUAGAACGCGAGAAUCAAGCCAAGCGUCAACGCCGCGAAAGCGACCCCGGCCUGCUAGGCUUAGGCUAGUUGCUGUAAAGUAUCAUCAUCAAGAUACUCGGAGAUGAAGAGCGAGAGAAUGGCUGCUUGGCGCGAGCGCUCGCUACUUCACUUCUUCAAUAAACCAUUCAUGUUCGAAGCAGUCACCGGUCUCGAUCGUUUUAACAAUGGUGCCAUGACCAUAUAAUCUAUUUCCCUGCAGGAAAAGAUGUAACUGCAGACACCUAUUGGAUACGACAAACACAAGUACUACUCGGGAAGACAAGUGGCGAUGCUAAGUCAAGCACUAAACCCUUUAAAAUAAAUGGACAAGAAGUAUACUGUGACGACAAAGGACUCAUAAGACAGAAAGGACGCUUGCACUACAUCCAAGAAUCAAGCCGGCACGUUAUCGUACUUCCAAAGGACGAGUAUUUCACGUGACUACUGAUACGUCACGUUCAUAAAAUAAUAUUGCACGGCGGAGUUCAAGCAACGCUAACGCAACUACGGAGUAAGUUCUGGAUAUUUCAACGUCACCAAGCUGUAAAAAGAGUUUUAAACAAAUGUAUAGUAUUGCAAGAGGCAGCCACUCAAACUAUGCCUCCCCUCCCGGCGGACAGAGUUAACGAAUCGGGGCCAUUUCAAGUCACAGGAGUUCACUUCACCGGAACACUUUAUGCGAGAAGCAAACACGAGAUUGUAAAACAAUACGUAGUAAUUUUCACCUGCGCGGUAACGAGAGGAGUACACUUGGAGAUGACCAACGACAUGUCGACAUCCAGUUCUUUACAGUUGCUAAGGAAAGUCACCCUGCUACGCUGUUUGUUCAGACUUGGCACCGCUAAUGUCAAGCGGGCCGCAUUUUAUUUUUAAUUGUGCCCAUAUCGCAUGGUGUGCUGGAGUUGAGAAAUACAUUGAUGUAUGUUGCAGCAACAAAUAAAGGUGUUCCUACU
Molecule: long non-coding RNA, 1896 nt
Organism: Dermacentor silvarum
Lineage: Eukaryota; Metazoa; Arthropoda; Arachnida; Ixodida; Ixodidae
Exons: 5
Source: RefSeq, a predicted model, not a curated record